RNAcentral lists this ribosomal RNA (912 nucleotides) under Thaxterogaster scaurus. Its description in RNAcentral is "eukaryotic LSU rRNA". It matches the Rfam family "Eukaryotic large subunit ribosomal RNA", at positions 56 to 955 of the family's 3401-position model. The record is from RNAcentral. Lineage: Eukaryota; Fungi; Basidiomycota; Agaricomycetes; Agaricales; Cortinariaceae.
GAAAAGAAACUAACAAGGAUUCCCCUAGUAACUGCGAGUGAAGCGGGAAAAGCUCAAAUUUAAAAUCUGGCAGUCUUUGGCUGUCCGAGUUGUAAUCUAGAGAAGUGUUAUCCGCGCUGGACCGUGUACAAGUCUCCUGGAAUGGAGCGUCAUAGAGGGUGAGAAUCCCGUCUUUGACACGGACUGCCAGGGCUUUGUGAUGCGCUCUCAAAGAGUCGAGUUGUUUGGGAAUGCAGCUCAAAAUGGGUGGUAAAUUCCAUCUAAAGCUAAAUAUUGGCGAGAGACCGAUAGCGAACAAGUACCGUGAGGGAAAGAUGAAAAGAACUUUGGAAAGAGAGUUAAACAGUACGUGAAAUUGCUGAAAGGGAAACGCUUGAAGUCAGUCGCGUUGGUCAGGGAUCAACCUUGCUUUUGCUGGGUGUACUUCCUGGUUGACGGGUCAGCAUCAAUUUUGAUCAUUGGAAAAAGAUCAGGGGAAUGUGGCAUCCUUGGAUGUGUUAUAGCCCUUGGUUGUAUACAAUGGUUGGGAUUGAGGAGCUCAGCACGCCGCAAGGCCGGGUUUUUACCACGUACGUGCUUAGGAUGCUGGCAUAAUGGCUUUAAUCGACCCGUCUUGAAACACGGACCAAGGAGUCUAACAUGCCUGCGAGUGUUUGGGUGGAAAACCCGAGCGCGCAAUGAAAGUGAAAGUUGAGAUCCCUGUCGUGGGGAGCAUCGACACCCGGACCUGACCUUUUGUGACGGCUCCGCGGUAGAGCAUGUAUGUUGGGACCCGAAAGAUGGUGAACUAUGCCUGAAUAGGGUGAAGCCAGAGGAAACUCUGGUGGAGGCUCGUAGCGAUUCUGACGUGCAAAUCGAUCGUCAAAUUUGGGUAUAGGGGCGAAAGACUAAUCGAACCAUCUAGUAGCUGGU